AUUUUGGAUCUAUGAUUUUUGAGGUGUGAGUUUUAAAGAGGGAGAAGCGAUUGAUGAUGCAAUUUGACAUGUAUAUUCACCAGAUAUGAGAUUUAGUUGGGUAUUCAUGUUGUUCAGAAGGUUAAUCUUAUUCGUAUCACUAUGGAUUGGGAGGUGUUAUUUCAUAGAAACACAAGUUCUAUGGGUCAUAUUUUCGUUCAGCUUCAGCAAAAAGAAAAAGAAAGGAAGGCUUUAAAGCUACUUGCAGUGAUAUGAAACAAGGAUCCAGAGUGUUUCUUCUUCUUUCCACAGGAUCUGGCAGAAGUGAAAUCCUUUUUCAACUUAACAGUCUCAAGAAUUAGCGUCCAUCAGUUGUAGUGAAGGUUUUCAAAAGAAACUUUGGACAAUAAUUAUGAUGACCUAUCCUCUCAAGAUGCAUUUGAAUAUGACAGUAUAGAUUAUAUUGGUUAUAACAGUGACGAAGACACAUAUUCUUUUGCAUCACUGUACAAUGAAGGAGAUGGUGCGUGAACUCAACUCUAUGCAAUAUGGAAGACUUGAUUAUCCCUGUGUGCGAUUCUUCUUCACUUUUUUUCCCACAGUUGUUUUUCUUUGUAUUAGUUCUUUUUUGUCACUCUUAUUUUGCAUUCUUCAUAUGUAUUGUUACCGGUUCAUCAGAUAUUGAAGAGAACAAGAUUGAUGGCAUUUUGAAAGGACUGUGUCUGCUGUAUAGCAUAAUUCGGCUCAGGAAAAUUUUACUCAAUUUAAAAACUAUUUGGUUUGCUUGCAUUUGGAAUAUAUAGAUAGGUCGGAACGAUGAGCUGUUCUGUAGCGGUUAGAGUUGUGCCUAUGUGUCUUUCAAAGUGGAAAUCGUAGCGGUUUGAUUGUUAGAUGUUUCUUUGGUGUUGUGUAAGUAGCUGGGAUUUAAUUGAUUUUGGUGCCGGUGAGGUUUUGAUAAUUUGUUACAGGGCUGAUUGGUGGGUUCAAAGUUGGGAGAACUUAGAAUUCUAUUCUGGUUGGCUCACAUGCAUUAUUGUAAUUUCAGAAA
Long non-coding RNA from Vicia villosa (hairy vetch), 1027 nucleotides. RefSeq lists it as uncharacterized. The transcript is spliced from 4 exons. Lineage: Eukaryota; Viridiplantae; Streptophyta; Magnoliopsida; Fabales; Fabaceae. The record is from RefSeq and is a predicted model, not a curated record.